This 1056-nucleotide long non-coding RNA is filed under the name Oryctolagus cuniculus (rabbit). RNAcentral describes it as "lncRNA (ENSOCUG00000038823.1)". Lineage: Eukaryota; Metazoa; Chordata; Mammalia; Lagomorpha; Leporidae. The record is from RNAcentral.
AUGUGUGUGUGGCUGUGUGUUUAUGAGUGUGUGUGUGGAUGUGUGUGUGCCUGUGUGCGUAUGUCUGUGUCUCUGUGUCUGUGUCUCUGUGUGUAUCUGUGUGGCUGUGUGUGUGUAUCUAUGUGGCCAUGUGGGUGGCUGUCUGUGUGUGUGCCUGUAUGCAUGGUUGUGCGUGGUUGUGUAUUUGUGUGGCCGUGUGUGUGUGUAUCUAUGUGGCCAUGUGGGUGGCUGUCUGUGUGUGCCUGUAUGCAUGGUUGUGCGUGGUUGUGUAUUUGUGUGGCUGUGUGUGUGUAUCUAUGUGGCCAUGUGGCUGUCUGUGUGUGUGCCUGUAUGCAUGGUUGUGCAUGGUUGUGUAUUUGUGUGGCUGUGUGUAUGUAUCUAUGUGGCCAUGUGGGUGGCUGUCUGUGUGUGCCUGUAUGCAUGGUUGUGCGUGGUUGUGUAUUUGUGUGGCCGUGUGUGUGUAUCUAUGUGGCCAUGUGGGUGGCUGUCUGUGUGUGCCUGUAUGCAUGGUUGUGCAUGGUUGUGUAUUUGUGUGGCUGUGUGUAUGUAUCUAUGUGGCCAUGUGGGUGGCUGUGUGUGUGCCUGUAUGCAUGGUUGUGCGUGGUUGUGUAUUUGUGUGGCUGUGUGUGUGUAUCUAUGUGGCCAUGUGGGUGGCUGUGUGUGUGCCUGUAUGCAUGGUUGUGCGUGGUUGUGUAUUUGUGUGGCUGUGUGUGUGUAUCUAUGUGGCCAUGUGGGUGGCUGUCUGUGUGUGUGCCUGUAUGCAUGGUUGUGCAUGGUUGUGUAUUUGUGUGGCUGUGUGUAUGUAUCUAUGUGGCCAUGUGGGUGGCUGUCUGUGUGUGUGCCUGUAUGCAUGGUUGUGCGUGGUUGUGUAUUUGUGUGGCUGUGUGUGUCUAUGUGGCCAUGUGGGUGGCUGUCUCUGUGUGUGCCUGUGUGGCUGUGUGUGCGUCUGUCUGUGUGUCUCUCUGUGAGUGUGUGCCUGCACAGGCAGUAAAGACCCCGCCGCUGUCUGGGGAACAUAGAGGCUCCCCCCGCAGGCCUUGCUCUGACUGCUGCUGA